Molecule: ribosomal RNA, 253 nt
Filed under: Parabacteroides merdae
Lineage: Bacteria; Pseudomonadati; Bacteroidota; Bacteroidia; Bacteroidales; Tannerellaceae
Description: partial 16S ribosomal RNA
Rfam family: Bacterial small subunit ribosomal RNA
Source: RNAcentral
UACGGAGGAUGCGAGCGUUAUCCGGAUUUAUUGGGUUUAAAGGGUGCGUAGGUGGUGAUUUAAGUCAGCGGUGAAAGUUUGUGGCUCAACCAUAAAAUUGCCGUUGAAACUGGAUUACUUGAGUGUGUUUGAGGUAGGCGGAAUGCGUGGUGUAGCGGUGAAAUGCAUAGAUAUCACGCAGAACUCCGAUUGCGAAGGCAGCUUACUAAACCAUAACUGACACUGAAGCACGAAAGCGUGGGGAUCAAACAGG